UAUGGUCCUCGGUAGUGGUUUCCAGAUGUAUGCACCAGAUGUAUAUAGCUGUGAACUUCGAUCGAAGAUUCAUU
This 74-nucleotide non-coding RNA is filed under the name unclassified sequences. The record is from Rfam.